RNAcentral lists this ribosomal RNA (484 nucleotides) under uncultured bacterium. RNAcentral describes it as "partial 16S ribosomal RNA". It matches the Rfam family "Bacterial small subunit ribosomal RNA", at positions 30 to 507 of the family's 1533-position model. The record is from RNAcentral.
AUUGAACGCUGGCGGCAGGCCUAACACAUGCAAGUCGAGCGGAUGAAGGGAGCUUGCUCCUGGAUUCAGCGGCGGACGGGUGAGUAGUGCCUAGGAAUCUGCCUGGUAGUGGGGGAUAACGUCCGGAAACGGGCGCUAAUACCGCAUACGUCCUGAGGGAGAAAGUGGGGGAUCUUCGGACCUCACGCUAUCAGAUGAGCCUAGGUCGGAUUAGCUAGUUGGUGGGGUAAAGGCCUACCAAGGCGACGAUCCGUAACUGGUCUGAGAGGAUGAUCAGUCACAAUGGGACCGGGAAACGGUCCCGGAUCCUACGGGAAGGCACAGGGGGGAAAAUUGGGCAAAUGGGGGAAGCCUUGUCCAACCCAGGCGGGUUUGUUGAAGAAGUCUUCCGAUUGGAAAAGCCCUUUAGGUGGGGAGAAAGGGCGUAAGGUUAAAACUUGCCUGUUUGACGUUACCCACAAAAUAAGCCCCGGCUAACUUCGUG